This 253-nucleotide ribosomal RNA is filed under the name uncultured bacterium. RNAcentral describes it as "partial 16S ribosomal RNA". It matches the Rfam family "Bacterial small subunit ribosomal RNA", at positions 524 to 776 of the family's 1533-position model. The record is from RNAcentral.
UACGUAGGUGGCAAGCGUUGUCCGGAUUUAUUGGGCUUAAAGGGUGCGUAGGCGGCUUUGUAAGUCAGUGGUGAAAUAUGGCAGCUUAACUGUCAAGGUGCCAUUGAUACUGCGGAGCUUGAGUACAGAUGAGGUAGGCGGAAUUGACGGUGUAGCGGUGAAAUGCUUAGAUAUCGUCAAGAACACCUAUAGCGAAGGCAGCUUACUAGGCUGUAACUGACGCUGAGGCACGAAAGUGUGGGGAGCAAACAGG